UGGGCUGUAGCUCAGAGGUAGAGCACGUGCUUAGCAUGCAUGAGGCCCUAGGUUUGAUUCCCAGCACCAA
This 70-nucleotide transfer RNA is filed under the name Marmota marmota marmota (Alpine marmot). It matches the Rfam family "tRNA". From Rfam's summary of the family: Transfer RNA (tRNA) molecules are approximately 80 nucleotides in length. Lineage: Eukaryota; Metazoa; Chordata; Mammalia; Rodentia; Sciuridae. RNAcentral also lists the same sequence under 2 other names. The record is from Rfam by way of RNAcentral.